RNAcentral lists this ribosomal RNA (395 nucleotides) under Draco beccarii. RNAcentral's name for it is "partial small subunit ribosomal RNA". Lineage: Eukaryota; Metazoa; Chordata; Lepidosauria; Squamata; Agamidae. The record is from RNAcentral.
AAACUUGGAUUAGAUACCCCACUAUGCCUGACUGUAAAUUACCAGCCAAAAAAGUAUGAGCCCCGCUUAAAACUUAAAGGACCUGGCGGUACUCUAUAUCAACCUAGAGGGGCCUGUCCUAUAACCGAUAAUCCACGAAAAACCUUACCACUCCUUGCCUCCAGCCUAUAUACCGCCGUCUUCAGCACAUUUCCCAAAAAAUGAAGCUAAAUAGUCCCACACACUAGCACGUCAGGUCAAGGUGUAGCUAAUGGAGCGGAAGAGGCGGACCACAAUACCACAACACACGGAAACCCCAUUGAAACAUGAGGAAAAAGAUGAAUUUAGCAGUAAGNGGGGCCGAACGCCCCACUGAACCACCCGCCCUAGAGUACGCACACACCGCCCGUCACCCU